GACGAACGCUGGCGGCGUGCCUAAUACAUGCAAGUAGAACGCUGAAGAGAGGAGCUUGCUCUUCUUGGAUGAGUUGCGAACGGGUGAGUAACGCGUAGGUAACCUGCCUUGUAGCGGGGGAUAACUAUUGGAAACGAUAGCUAAUACCGCAUAACAAUGGAUGACACAUGUCAUUUAUUUGAAAGGGGCAAUUGCUCCACUACAAGAUGGACCUGCGUUGUAUUAGCUAGUAGGUGAGGUAACGGCUCACCUAGGCGACGAUACAUAGCCGACCUGAGAGGGUGAUCGGCCACACUGGGACUGAGACACGGCCCAGACUCCUACGGGAGGCAGCAGUAGGGAAUCUUCGGCAAUGGGGGGCGAACCCUGACCGAGCAACGCCGCGUGAGUGAAGAAGGUUUCGGAUCGUAAAGCUCUGUUGUAAGUCAAGAACGAGUGUGAGAGUGGAAAGUUCACACUGUGACGGUAGCUUACCAGAAAGGGACGG
Molecule: ribosomal RNA, 487 nt
Filed under: uncultured bacterium
Lineage: Bacteria
Description: bacterial SSU rRNA
Rfam family: Bacterial small subunit ribosomal RNA
Source: RNAcentral